Molecule: non-coding RNA, 31 nt
Filed under: Homo sapiens (human)
Lineage: Eukaryota; Metazoa; Chordata; Mammalia; Primates; Hominidae
Source: RNAcentral
UGGGCCAUUUGAUUGUCCUCUUUUGUGAAAU